RNAcentral lists this unclassified non-coding RNA (387 nucleotides) under soil metagenome. RNAcentral describes it as "partial contains 5.8S ribosomal RNA, internal transcribed spacer 2, and large subunit ribosomal RNA". The stretch from base 1 to 120 matches the Rfam family "5.8S ribosomal RNA", at positions 35 to 154 of the family's 154-position model. The record is from RNAcentral.
GAUGAAGAACGCAGCGAAAUGCGAUAAGUAAUGUGAAUUGCAGAAUUCAGUGAAUCAUCGAAUCUUUGAACGCACCUUGCACCCUUUGGCAUUCCGAAGGGUAUGCUCGUUUGAGUGUCAUUGUACUCUCACACUCUCCGAUCCUAUUGAUUCGGGGAGCGGUGGACUUGGGUGUUGCUGCCUUUCCUUGUGGCUCACCUCAAAUGUGUCAGUGCACCUCUUGGUUGGACAUAGUACGGCGUGAUAAGUGUCUUCGCCGGCACCUCGCAAGAGGGUGGCCGAUCGGGAGCUCUGUGCUUUCAAACCGUCUUCGGACAAUUUCUGACAACUUGACCUCAAAUCGAGUAGGACUACCCGCUGAACUUAAGCAUAUCAAUAAGCGGAGGA